AAUGGUCAUCGUUAAAGUCAGCGGCUCAUUAUGAAGCGACCCAGUAUAAAAUGUCUCUAUUUACAAAAAAUUGAAACUUGCUACUCCUCCACAACAAGUUGAGCGUGAGAGUCAGUUUACUCAUUUGACCGUAACACUACAUUGGGCCUCAUUACAUCCAGCAGCCUCCAUGGACAUGGACCCACCAGGGUCCACCAGGGUGGUGGGUCUGGAUGCCCAGGGCAACAUGGUCUUCACUGUGGUGAAACCAGUGAUGGGCAUCUACCAGGUGUCUUCGGAGCAAACGGGCAGCGUCGCACACGGGGGUAUGGGGCUCCAGGGUUUGUCCGAAAACACGUUGAUCCUCCCUGAAGUGCAAGGCCAGGCGCCGCUGGACCAGAACCAGACGGAAAUGCACGGCCUCCAGCCUAAUAUUCAGAUGCCCCACAUGCAGAUUCCUGUCCCAGUGCAGACCGAGCUCGUGUCCCAGAUUCUGGACCCGCAGCCCGACGCCGGCACAAACCCCGAGUCGGCCUCCCAUAUGCCUUUUGCAGAGGUGUCGUCACUCCUGGACCCCAACAUGAAAGGAUCCAAGGCGCGGAAAUACCUCAUCUCGUACGAGGAGAUCAAGCGGCGCCUGCAGGCCCCGGAGAAGAUGUCCCUGCGCUCCCUGGCAGCCUACACUCGGGUCAGCCGAGGUCCGGCCAGCAAAAAGACGCUGCUGGAGUCGCUCAACGUCCUCGGCCUCACGCCGAGCACAACUACCUCCGUGUCCUCCUCGUUCUCCAAACUCACCGAAGGCGACACCGGGGCUUUGUGUGACGACAUGAAGGACUUCGCCCACGACUACAUCGACUGCAGCCACAUGGCUAAGCAGCUCAUCCCCGAGACCAACACGGUUCAACACUGGUCCAAAAUCAUUGAAACCAAGAACCACCUGGAGGAUAUGAGGAGAUGCUUCAAGGACCCGGUGAACAGCGGCGCGUUUGACAACGUCACUCACGGCCUGGGUCUGGGAGCGCUGGACGUCGCGCUGGACGUGAUCGUGAUGGUCAUCGAGCAGCAGAUUCGGAUCCUCUCCGGGGCGGCGGCGUCGGACCCGGCCGACUCCGGUCCGCCGAUGCGCCGCGUCCGCCGGCGGCACCGCAAAGCCCGCUCGACCGACAACGAGAGCCCCCGCAAGGUGUCUGCGGGGGUCAAAGAGCCGGGGAGGGCCAUUUCCAAAGGCAAAGGGCGAGGCCGGUCCAGGAAUAAGAUAAGACAGGAAACCGGCGCAGCGGUUCCCAUGGAAACCCAAGCAGAACAAUGCAAGCCCGAUGAGGUGGAGAAUAACGUCCUAACCCUGGUGUCUGUCGGAUAUGAGACCGUUUCUUGUGAACUGAAUGCAGCCGGAACAGUUUGACACCUGGUCACGUGACCGGCCCCAAAACAAACGAACAAACAAACAAUCGUCCUCCGGUUCAAAGGGAUGGGAAACGGACCGCACAAGUUGAGCUGCUGCGAGGGACGUCUCAGCACCAACGUGUAAUCCCAAAGUACUUGAAGUCCAACUGAAAAUAGUUUGACAUUUUAGGUAGCACAAUUUCUCAAGUAAAUAGGUAGGGUAAAUAUGUAGCUGGAGCCAGCACACUAUUAGCUUAGCAUAAAGACUGGCGCCUGGGGAACAGGGGAAGGGUCAACAGCUAGCCUAGCUCCGUCCAAUGGUAACAAGAACAACUCUAAAGCUUCCAAAUGAACACCUUUAGUCUCAUUUGUUUAAUCUGCACAGAAAAAAGUCACAGUAGAGGCUUUGUGUUAAACAAUGAACUCUUGUGUUUUACACCAUUACGAUUAAGGAGAUCUUUCCCUGCUCGUAACUCUACUAUUCCACAGCUGAACUCCAGCCAAAGAUUGUUGUGACAGAGCAGCUAAUAUCGUCGGCGAGAACAUGAAGUGUUUGAAUGCUUCACACCUCGUGUUUGAAGGCGAGGAGAGAGAGAGGGGAAGCUAAUAAGCACCCCCCCCCAUGCCGAACUACUCCUUUAAAGGGAAUCCUCUCUUUGUUCUGUAGCAUCGUAUGUGUGUUCGUGUAGUGUAACUGGAUCCAGUUGUAACUGUUUUCUCAUGCCAUGUUUUUGAUGAAAAAACUGAAAUCACCACCUGAAAUAUGUUGUAAACAUGUUGUUCAUGCACAAGGUAGAACCGAUGACAUCAGAGGUCUUGGAUCACACGUCUUACCGUUUGGUAACAAUGUCCUUUAUUUCCCAGUUGUAUUUAUUCAUUAGAGAUGCAAUUAAACAUCUGUUGGUCUGAACUGAAGCAUAAAGAUUUCAUUUU
Gasterosteus aculeatus aculeatus (three-spined stickleback) is the source of this 2295-nucleotide long non-coding RNA. NCBI's taxonomy places the organism in Eukaryota, Metazoa, Chordata, Actinopteri, Perciformes, Gasterosteidae. The record is from Ensembl.